GCCGAAAUAGCUCAGUUGGGAGACCGUUAGACUGAAGAUCUAAAGGUCCCUGGUUUGAUCCUGGGUUUUGGCA
Molecule: transfer RNA, 73 nt
Filed under: Pelobates cultripes (western spadefoot toad)
Lineage: Eukaryota; Metazoa; Chordata; Amphibia; Anura; Pelobatidae
Description: tRNA.Phe
Rfam family: tRNA
About the family: Transfer RNA (tRNA) molecules are approximately 80 nucleotides in length. Their secondary structure includes four short double-helical elements and three loops (D, anti-codon, and T loops).
Source: RNAcentral